Molecule: ribosomal RNA, 538 nt
Filed under: uncultured bacterium
Lineage: Bacteria
Description: bacterial SSU rRNA
Rfam family: Bacterial small subunit ribosomal RNA
Source: RNAcentral
AGAGUUUGAUCAUGGCUCAGGAUGAACGCUGGCGGCGUGCUUAACACAUGCAAGUCGAACGAUGAUCCCCAGCUUGCUGGGGGGAUUAGUGGCGAACGGGUGAGUAACACGUGAGUAACCUGCCCUUGACUCUGGGAUAAGCCUGGGAAACUGGGUCUAAUACCGGAUAUGACUCCUCAUCGCAUGGUGGGGGGUGGAAAGCUUUUGUGGUUUUGGAUGGACUCGCGGCCUAUCAGCUUGUUGGUGAGGUAAUGGCUCACCAAGGCGACGACGGGUAGCCGGCCUGAGAGGGUGACCGGCCACACUGGGACUGAGACACGGCCCAGACUCCUACGGGAGGCAGCAGUGGGGAAUAUUGCACAAUGGGCGAAAGCCUGAUGCAGCGACGCCGCGUGAGGGAUGACGGCCUUCGGGUUGUAAACCUCUUUCAGUAGGGAAGAAGCGAAAGUGACGGUACCUGCAGAAGAAGCGCCGGCUAACUACGUGCCAGCAGCCGCGGUAAUACGUAGGGCGCAAGCGUUAUCCGGAAUUAUUGGGC